Molecule: ribosomal RNA, 447 nt
Filed under: uncultured bacterium
Lineage: Bacteria
Description: bacterial SSU rRNA
Rfam family: Bacterial small subunit ribosomal RNA
Source: RNAcentral
GUCCCAGACUCCUACGGGAGGCAGCAGUGGGGAAUAUUGCACAAUGGGGGAAACCCUGAUGCAGCGACGCCGCGUGAGUGAAGAAGUAUUUCGGUAUGUAAAGCUCUAUCAGCAGGGAAGAAAAUGACGGUACCUGACUAAGAAGCCCCGGCUAACUACGUGCCAGCAGCCGCGGUAAUACGUAGGUGGCAAGCGUUGUCCGGAAUUACUGGGUGUAAAGGGAGCGCAGGCGGGAAGCCAAGUCAGCUGUGAAAACUACGGGCUUAACUUGUAGACUGCAGUUGAAACUGGUUUUCUUGAGUGAAGUAGAGGUUGGCGGAAUUCCGAGUGUAGCGGUGAAAUGCGUAGAUAUCGCGCAGAACUCCGAUUGCGAAGGCAGCAUGCCGGCUCCACACUGACGCUGAGGCACGAAAGCGUGGGUAUCGAACAGGAUUAGAUACCCCUGUA